CCUACGGGCGGCAGCAGUGAGGAAUAUUGGUCAAUGGACGAAAGUCUGAACCAGCCAAGUCGCGUGAAGGAUGACUGCCCUAUGGGUUGUAAACUUCUUUUAUAUGGGAAUAAAGUGUUCCACGUGUGGGAUUUUGUAUGUACCAUAUGAAUAAGGAUCGGCUAACUCCGUGCCAGCAGCCGCGGUAAUACGGAGGAUCCGAGCGUUAUCCGGAUUUAUUGGGUUUAAAGGGAGCGUAGAUGGGUUGUUAAGUCAGUGGUGAAAGUUUGCGGCUCAACCGUAAAAUUGCAAUUGAUACUGGCAGCCUUGAGUACAGUUGAGGUAGGCGGAAUUCGUGGUGUAGCGGUGAAAUGCUUAGAUAUCACGAAGAACUCCGAUUGCGAAGGCAGCCUACUAA
This 397-nucleotide ribosomal RNA is filed under the name uncultured bacterium. RNAcentral describes it as "partial 16S ribosomal RNA". It matches the Rfam family "Bacterial small subunit ribosomal RNA", at positions 338 to 732 of the family's 1533-position model. The record is from RNAcentral.